Molecule: ribosomal RNA, 467 nt
Filed under: uncultured bacterium
Lineage: Bacteria
Description: partial 16S ribosomal RNA
Rfam family: Bacterial small subunit ribosomal RNA
Source: RNAcentral
GACGAACGCUGGCGGCGUGCUUAACACAUGCAAGUCGAACGGAAAGGCCUCUUUCGGGGGGUACUCGAGUGGCGAACGGGUGAGUAACACGUGAGUAACCUGCCUUUGACUUUGGGAUAACUUCAGGAAACUGGGGCUAAUACCGGAUAGGAGCUCCUGCUGCAUGGUGGGGGUUGGAAAGUUUCGGCGGUUGGGGAUGGACUCGCGGCUUAUCAGCUUGUUGGUGGGGUAGUGGCUUACCAAGGCUUUGACGGGUAGCCGGCCUGAGAGGGUGACCGGCCACAUUGGGACUGAGAUACAGCCCAGACUCCUACGGGAGGCAGCAGUGGGGAAUAUUGCACAAUGGGUGGAAGCCUGAUGCAGCAACGCCGUGUGCGGGAUGACGGCCUUCGGGUUGUAAACCGCUUUCGCUCAUGACGAAGCUUUGUGUGACGGUAGUGGGUAAAGAAGCACCGGCUAACUACGUG